RNAcentral lists this ribosomal RNA (2894 nucleotides) under Clostridioides difficile. Its description in RNAcentral is "Bacterial large subunit ribosomal RNA". It matches the Rfam family "Bacterial large subunit ribosomal RNA". The record is from RNAcentral. Lineage: Bacteria; Bacillati; Bacillota; Clostridia; Peptostreptococcales; Peptostreptococcaceae.
GUCAAGUUAUUAAGGGUGCAGGGCGGAUGCCUUGGCACUAGGAGCCGAUGAAGGACGUGAUAAGCUGCGAUAAGCUUCGGGGAGUUGCACGUAAACUUUGAUCCGAAGAUUUCCGAAUGAGGAAACUCACUUAGAGUAAUGUCUAAGUAUCAUUAAGUGAAUACAUAGCUUAAUGAGGGGAACUCAGGGAACUGAAACAUCUAAGUACCUGAAGGAAGAGAAAGAAAUUCGAUUCCGUAAGUAGCGGCGAGCGAACGCGGAUUAGCCCAAACCAAUAAAGUUUUCUUUAUUGGGGUUGCGGACAUAUCAUAACGAAGAGGUAUCGUAAUUGAAGAGGUUUGGAAAGACCCACCACAGAAGGUAAUAGUCCUGUAUGUUAAACGAGAAGACUUUAGAUAUGAUCCAGAGUACCACGGGACACGUGAAACCCUGUGGGAAGCAGGAGGGACCACCCUCCAAGGCUAAAUACUACCUAGUGACCGAUAGCGUAUAGUACCGUGAGGGAAAGGUGAAAAGAACCCCGGGAGGGGAGUGAAAUAGAACCUGAAACCCUGCACUUACAAGCUGUGGAAGCACAUUUCUUGUGUGACCGCGUACUUUUUGUAGAACGGGCCAACGAGUUACGUUAAGUAGCAAGGUUAAGCACUUAAGGUGCGGAGCCGUAGCGAAAGCGAGUUUUAACUGAGCGUUCAGUUACUUGACGUAGACCCGAAACCGGGCGACCUACCCAUGAGCAGGAUGAAGCGAAAGUAAAAUUUCGUGGAGGUCCGAACCCACGAGCGUUGAAAAGCUCGGGGAUGACUUGUGGGUAGCGGUGAAAUUCCAAUCGAGCCCGGAGAUAGCUGGUUCUCCCCGAAAUAGCUUUAGGGCUAGCCUCAAGGUGAGAGAUACGGAGGUAGAGCACUGAAUGUCCUAGGGGGUAUUGCACCUACCGAAGACUAUCAAACUCCGAAUGCCGUCAUCUUAUACUUGGGAGUCAGACUGUGGGUGAUAAGAUUCAUAGUCGAAAGGGCAACAGCCCAGAUCGUCAGCUAAGGUCCCUAAAUGUAAGUUAAGUGGUAAAGGAUGUGGGAUUGCACAGACAACCAGGAUGUUGGCUUAGAAGCAGCCACUCAUUCAAAGAGUGCGUAAUAGCUCACUGGUCGAGUGAUCCUGCGCCGAAGAUUUCCGGGGCUAAAACUUACUACCGAAGCUACGGCAUCAGUAAUGAUGGGUAGGGGAGCUUCCCAUACGGGUUGAAGCAUGACCGUAAGGACAUGUGGACAGUAUGGGAGUGAGAAUGUUGGCAUGAGUAGCGAGAUGUGGGUGAGAAUCCCACAGGCCGUAAACCCAAGGUUUCCAGGGGAAGGUUCGUCCGCCCUGGGUUAGUCGGGACCUAAGCUGAGGCCGAAAGGCGUAGGUGAUGGACAACAGGUUGAUAUUCCUGUACUACCGAUAACCGUUUGAGAGAAGGGAUGACACAGUAGGAUAAGCUAAGCACACUGUUGGUUAUGUGUGCCCAAGCAUUGAGGCAGUCAAAGUAGGCAAAUCCGCUUUGAUAAUGCUGGGAUGUGAUGGGGAGCGAAAUUUAGUAGCGAAGUAGCUGAUUUCACACUGUCAAGAAAAGUCUCUAUCGAGGUUAAAGGUACCCGUACCGCAAACCGACACAGGUGGGUGAGGAGAGUAUCCUAAGGCCAGCGAGAGAACUGUUGUUAAGGAACUCGGCAAAAUGACCCCGUAACUUAGGGAUAAGGGGUGCCACCAUCAGGUGGCCGCAGAGAAUAGGCCCAAGCGACUGUUUACCAAAAACAUAGGUUUCUGCUAAGUCGCAAGACGAUGUAUAGGAGCUGACGCCUGCCCGGUGCUGGAAGGUUAAGGGGAUCUGUUAGAGCAAUCGAAGCAGUGAACUUAAGCCCCAGUAAACGGCGGCCGUAACUAUAACGGUCCUAAGGUAGCGAAAUUCCUUGUCGGGUAAGUUCCGACCCGCACGAAAGGCGUAACGAUUUGGGCACUGUCUCAACAACAGACUCGGUGAAAUUGUAAUUCCGGUGAAGAUGCCGGAUACCUGCGACAGGACGGAAAGACCCCAUGGAGCUUUACUGUAGCUUGACAUUGGGUCUUGGUACUACAUGUACAGGAUAGGUGGGAGGCUUUGAAACCAGGACGCCAGUUUUGGCGGAGCCAUCCUUGGGAUACCACCCUUGUAGUACUGGGACUCUAACCAUAGGCCAUGAAUCUGGUCUUGGGACACUGUCAGGUGGGCAGUUUGACUGGGGCGGUCGCCUCCCAAAAGGUAACGGAGGCGCUCAAAGGUUCUCUCAGUACGGUCGGAAAUCGUACGUAGAGUGUAAAGGCAAAAGAGAGCUUGAUUGCAAGACAUACAGGUCGAGCAAGGAUGAAAAUCGGACUUAGUGAUCCGGUGGUUCUGCGUGGAAGGGCCAUCGCUCAACGGAUAAAAGCUACCCUGGGGAUAACAGGCUUAUCUCCCCCAAGAGUCCACAUCGACGGGGAGGUUUGGCACCUCGAUGUCGGCUCAUCACAUCCUGGGGCUGUAGUAGGUCCCAAGGGUUGGGCUGUUCGCCCAUUAAAGUGGUACGCGAGCUGGGUUCAGAACGUCGUGAGACAGUUCGGUCCCUAUCCGUCGCAGGCGUAGGAAAUUUGAGAAGACCUGUCCUUAGUACGAGAGGACCGGGAUGGACGUACCUCUGGUGUACCAGUUGUCCUGCCAAGGGCAUGGCUGGGUAGCUAUGUACGGAAUGGAUAAGCGCUGAAAGCAUCUAAGCGCGAAGCCAACUUCAAGAUAAGAUUUCCCACCGCAAGGGUAAGACCCCAGAAAGACUAUCUGGUUGAUAGGUCGAAGGUGUAAGUGCAGCAAUGUAUUUAGCUUAUCGAUACUAAUAGGUCGAGGACUUGAC